RNAcentral lists this unclassified non-coding RNA (336 nucleotides) under soil metagenome. RNAcentral describes it as "partial contains 5.8S ribosomal RNA, internal transcribed spacer 2, and large subunit ribosomal RNA". The stretch from base 1 to 120 matches the Rfam family "5.8S ribosomal RNA", at positions 35 to 154 of the family's 154-position model. The record is from RNAcentral.
GAUGAAGAACGUAGCGAAAUGCGAUAAGUAAUGUGAAUUGCAGAAUUCAGUGAAUCAUCGAAUCUUUGAACGCACAUUGCGCCCGCUAGUAUUCUGGCGGGCAUGCCUGUUCGAGCGUCAUUUCAACCAUCAAGCCCCCGGCUUGUGUUGGGGACCUGCGGCUGCCGCAGGCCCUUAAAAGCAGUGGCGGGCUCGCUGUCACACCGAGCGUAGUAGCAUACAUCUCGCUCUGGGCGUGCUGCGGGUUCCGGCCGUUAAACCACCUUCAUAACCCAAGGUUGACCUCGGAUCAGGUAGGAAGACCCGCUGAACUUAAGCAUAUCAAUAAGCGGAGGA